Molecule: ribosomal RNA, 496 nt
Filed under: uncultured bacterium
Lineage: Bacteria
Description: bacterial SSU rRNA
Rfam family: Bacterial small subunit ribosomal RNA
Source: RNAcentral
GAUGAACGCUAGCUACAGGCUUAACACAUGCAAGUCGAGGGGAAACGAUAGAGAAAGCUUGCUUUUUCUAGGCGUCGACCGGCGCACGGGUGAGUAACGCGUAUCCAACCUGCCCAUCACUUGGGGAUAACCUUGCGAAAGUAAGACUAAUACCCAAUGACGUCUCUAGAAGACAUCUGAAGGAGAUUAAAAGAUUUAUCGGUGAUGGAUGGGGAUGCGUCUGAUUAGCUUGUUGGCGGGGUAACGGCCCACCAAGGCGACGAUCAGUAGGGGUUCUGAGAGGAAGGCCCCCCCACAUUGGAACUGAGACACGGUCCAAACUCCUACGGGAGGCAGCAGUGAGGAAUAUGGUCAAUGGACGAGAGUCUGAACCAGCCAAGUAGCGUGCAGGAUGACGGCCCUAUGGGUUGUAAACUGCUUUUAUAAGGGAUAAAGUGAGUCUCGUGAGACUUUUUGCAUGUACCUUAUGAAUAAGGACCGGCUAAUUCCGUGUCCC